Molecule: long non-coding RNA, 517 nt
Filed under: Rattus norvegicus (Norway rat)
Lineage: Eukaryota; Metazoa; Chordata; Mammalia; Rodentia; Muridae
Description: long non-coding RNA NONRATT025570
Source: RNAcentral
AGCAUCCCUCCCCUGCGCAUCCCAGAGCGCCCCUGCCCUGCGCACCCCAGAGAAUCCCUUCCCUGCGCACCCCAGAGCAUCCCUCGCUUGUGUACCCCAGAGUAUCCCUGCUCUGCGUACUCCAGAGCAUACUUCCCUGUGUACCCCAGUGCGUCCCAGUGCAUCCCACCACAGCGCACCCCUGUACAUGCCACCGCGUCCCAGAAAAUCUUGCCGCGCUACACCCCAAACUCCCGCCUGCCUCAGGUGCCUUCGCCGGCUACUGGAACGUGACUUUGAUCCCCGAGGGCGCCAGGCACAUCCGCGUAACACAGCGCAGCCACAACCACCUGGCGCUGGUGACCCGCGACGGGCACUACGUGCUCAACGGUGAUGGUGUGCUCAGCCUGCCUGGCACCUAUGAGGCCGCGGGCACCCGCGUGGUUUACACCCGCAGUGCGGGUCCGGAGGAGACUCUGCAGGCUACCGGGCCCACCUCCCAGGAGCUGUUGUUGCAGGUGGGCCGAUGUGGACAGUU